Long non-coding RNA from Tribolium castaneum (red flour beetle), 2565 nucleotides. RefSeq lists it as uncharacterized. The transcript is spliced from 8 exons. Lineage: Eukaryota; Metazoa; Arthropoda; Insecta; Coleoptera; Tenebrionidae. The record is from RefSeq and is a predicted model, not a curated record.
UUUUAAAAUCUGAAAGACCCACCUCAAAAAAAUAGAUUUGAAGUAAACAUUUUACCUUCAAUUACCUUGAAUUCUUAAAACCGUUUUAACAAUUGUUAUCAGCUUAAAAUAACAUACACCUGCUAACUUCUCUUAGCUUACUUACCGUGCAAAUGGAAAUUUUGCAAAAAAGUGAAUAAAAGUAAAACCUUUAUCUUCCUUUAUUAAUUAAUUUACUAAAAAAAAGUACUUACUAAACUCAAAAUUAUUUGUCGGAAAUUAUAGGGAAGAACGUUUGGAGACACAAACCAGGACUUGGUGAACAAAAUCAUGUAAGAAUGUAAUACGGUACUUACCUCCCUCAUACAAAUUUUAUUUUUAAAAAACAAUUGCAGGGCUAGUAAAGUAAGAACUAAAAAAUAAAAAAUGUUCCAAUGGCGUAAUAAUUUUUAGCAAUUUUUUCGAUGGCGCUGAAAGAGUCAAAGACAAAAUAACGUAAGGUAUUAAUUGUGACAGUUGUAGGUACAUUUUUUUUUCAGGAAAAACAGUUAUCAUUAAAAAUCAAAUUGAACGAAACUCCAAUUUAUUGCUUUAAACAUCAUCCUCGGAAUAGUGCGAAAAUAUUUCUUUGCUGUUUUGAUUAAAAUCGAAAAGCACGUUUGCAAAUUUUAAGUUUAUUUAAUCUUGGUGUAGUACCUUAAGGAAUAUGUUGUUUCAAAAACGUACAAGUGGAAAAAAUAACAAAAAUAACAUUAUGAAAAAAAAAUUAUGUAACAUAGUCCGUAAAAUAGCUCAUUAUGUCAAGACAUAAACAGUUAAUCACCAUUUAAAUAGAGUUACAAGAAAUAUAAUUACUUCUGAAAUGUAUAAACUGGAGUAAUAAAGACUUUAAACACGUUUCUGCAUAAUUUUGAACGCAAAAUUUUACCCAAAAAACAAUUUAAUUUUGAGAACUAAAAAGAAGUUUGCUGUUAUUUUUCUAUUACUUGUUGCCUCCAUCAUGGCUACAGACGCCACUGGCGAGGGAAGAACGUUUGGAGGCACAAACCAGAACUUGGUGAACAAAAUCAUGUAAAAAUGUAAUACGGUACUUACCUCCCUCAUACAAAUUUUAUUUUUAAGAGACUAUUGCAGGGCUAGUAAUCAAUUUUUUCGAUGGCGCUGAAAGAGUCAAGGACAAAAUAACGUAAGGUGUUAAUUGUGACAGUUGUAGGUACAUUUUUUUUCAGGAAAAACAGUUAUCAUUAAAAAUCAAAUUAAACGAAACUCCAAUUUAUUGCUUUAAACAUCAUCCUCGGAAUAGUGCGAAAAUAUUUCUUUGCUGUUUUGAUUAAAAUCGAAAAGCACGUUUGCAAAUUUUAAGUUUAUUUAAUCUUGAUGUAGUACCUUAAGGAAUAUGUUGUUUCAAAAACGUACAAGUGGAAAAAAUAACAAAAAUUACAUUAUGAAAAAAAAUUAUGUAACGUAGUCUGUAAAAUAGCUCAUUAUGUCAAGACAUAAACAGUUAGUCACCAUUUAAAUAGAGUUACAAGAAAUAUAAUUACUUCUGAAAUGCAUAAACUGGAGUAAUAAAGACUUUAAACACGUUUCUGUAUAAUUUUGAACGCAAAGUUUUACCCAAAAAACAAUUUAAUUUUGAGAACUAAAAAGAAGUUUGCUGUUAUUUUUCUAUUACUUGUUGCUUCCAUCAUGGCUAUAGACGCCACUGGCGAGGGAAGAACGUUUGGAGGCACGAACCAGGACUUGGUAAACAAAAUCAUUUAAGAAUGUAAUACGGUACUUACCUUCCUCAUAAAAAUUUUAUUUUUAAAAGACAAUUGCAGGGCUAGUAAAGUAAGAACUAAAAAAUAAAAAAUGUUCCAAUGGUGUAAUAAUUUUUAGCAAUUUUUUCGAUGGCGCUGAAAGAGUCAAGGACAAAAUAACGAAAAACAGUUAUCAUUAAAAAUCAAAUUAAACGAAAGAAACUCCAAUUUAUUGCUUUAAACAUCAUCCUCGGAAUAGUGCGAAAAUAUUUCUUUGCUGUUUUGAUUAAAAUCGAAAAGCACGUUUGCAAAUCUUAAGUUGAUUUAAUCUUGGUGUAGUACCUUAAGGAAUAUGUUGUUUUAAAGACGUAAAAGUAAAAAAUAUAACAAAAUUAACAUUAUGAAAAAAAAUUAUGUAACAUAGUCCGUAAAAUAGCUCAUUAUGUCAAGACAUAAACAGUUAAUCACCAUUUAAAUAGAGUUACAAGAAAUAUAAUUACUUCUGAAAUGUAUAAACUGGAGUAAUAAAGACUUUAAACACGUUUCUGUAUAAUUUUGAAUGCAAAGUUUUACCCAAAAAACAAUUUAAUUUUGAAAACUAAAAAGAAGUUUGCUGUUAUUGUUGCUUCCAACAUGGCUAUAGACGCUACUGGCGAGGUACAAAUAACGAUUAUUCUUGAUUUUUACUUAUUUUCUAUAUUUUGUUUUAAAAUCUAAAAGACCCACCUCAAAAAAAUAGAUUUGAAGUAAGCAUUUUACCUUCAUUACCUUGAAUUCUUAAAACCGUUUUAACAAUUGUUAUCAGCUUAAAAUAACAAACACCUGCUAACUUCUCUUAGCUUAC